GUCCAGCUCCUCUGGGCAGUGAACAGCGUGUGGCCCCUGACUCGGAAAAGGGUGUUUAGUGUGUGCGCGGCCUUUGUCACGGUCUGGGCCCCUCACGCAUAAAAUGGGACAAUAAUAGUACCUACCUCUUAGGCAUUAAACACCUACUGUGUACCAGGUGGAUGCUAGGUCCUGGCACAGACCUGCUCUCAUGGACUGCACCCAGCUGAGUGAUCUCAUCUUAGCCUGUUGAUUUGUUUGUUUUUUAAUAAAAUGUUCCUUUUUUAUGAUAAAAAAAUAAUGCAUACUUCCAGUAGAAAAGUUGAGAAAACUUUUAGAAAUCUCUCUUAAAAACACAUCUCUCAGGGACUUCCCUGGUGGUGCAGUGCUUAAGAAUCCACCUGCCCAUGCAGGGGACACGGCUUGGAGCCCUGGUCCGGGAAGAUCCCACACGCCAGGGAGCAACUACACCCGUGAGCCACAACUACUGAGCCCGCGUGCCGCAACUACUGAAGCCCACGCGCCUAGAGCCCGUGCUUCACAAGAGAAGCCACCACAGUAAGAAGCCCGCGCACCACAACAAAGAGUAGCCCCUGCUCGCCGCAACUAGAGAAAAGCCCACGUGCAGCAACAAAGACCCAACGCAGCCAAAACUAACUAACUAAAUAAAUAAAAACUCUUAUGUGUUCACAAAGAUAAA
This is a long non-coding RNA of Orcinus orca (killer whale), 679 nucleotides long. RefSeq lists it as uncharacterized. NCBI's taxonomy places the organism in Eukaryota, Metazoa, Chordata, Mammalia, Artiodactyla, Delphinidae. The record is from RefSeq and is a predicted model, not a curated record. The transcript is spliced from 2 exons.